Esox lucius (northern pike) is the source of this 4884-nucleotide long non-coding RNA. The record is from Ensembl. Lineage: Eukaryota; Metazoa; Chordata; Actinopteri; Esociformes; Esocidae.
UCAAUCUUUACUCACGAGUAGGCUUUGAUGAUGCGUUGCCGCGUAGGAUACGUGUGUGAGUGGGAUGCAAGUUAAAUAGGUUGUCGACGUUCUGGUUGCUGGGCGCACGAACUGUAGGCUACUGCGGUAAAGGAUGCGUCUGCUUGAUGGCUUAAAUAGGCUACGUAAAGAGACUGACAGAAAAAUAUGAUAAUAUCUUUAAAACAGCCUUUUGGUUUCGGCGCAGACGGAUGGGACCUUUUCAACCUAAUGCAAUCAAAGCACGAUAUACGUAUAUGGAUCCUUGUCGGCUGAUGCUCAGGGAGUCGUGUUGGGAGACGCAUACAAGGAUUGCCUACGACAAUUAUCCGACAACAAGCAACGACAGUUUAGAUGUCUGGGCAACGUCCAGUUUGGAGAAUCUGUGUGCCAUACGGUAAGAGAAGCAAGCGGAUUACGACAUUUUUGAGCGCGGUGGAGUCGAUAUGCACCCUUUUCGAAUCGAAACAUUUCGUGACGGUUUUGUGUACCACGAUGGAUUCAUUGUCUUAAAAGCCACCUUCCUCAUUCGAUAUUCAUACGGGUAAGCUUUUUUUUUAAAUGCUGCAUGUGAAUACUCUUUUGCGCAGCCUAAGUCGGGGCUAUCUGGGCUAAUCAUACAGACAUCAUCUAUAUAGCCAGCCUCAUUCUUACAAUGGCCUAAUGCCGUUGUUAAUUUGGGCAAGAACAUCUACUUCGUAAUAUAAAAUCAUGAUAAUGCUUACUGACGAUUGAGUUCAUGCAAACAAAUGUAAGCACAUUUUGGUUUAAAAAUGUGUUUUCAAAUAAUUCAUAGUUCAUUAGCCCAUAACAUUUCAAAUGGGAUUCAGCCCAAAAACACCAAUCAAAGUCUAGCAAAGAUUGUGUUAAAGGAUAAAAUUGGUUCACACAAUGCCAGCCACAAGACCUCUCUUGUGGGCAGAUAUUGAUUUGAAGCCUUAUUUGAUUUGGAGUCUUUCUCCAGUAACAUUCUUUCAGAAAUGAAAUGAGGUAUUGAAUACUGUCUGCAAUUAUAUUUCCGAUCAAGCCUUUUGCUCCUCCUCUAGGUUUUCUUUUUUUUUUUACAUGGACUGAAUUGUUUCGUCUGACGCCCUAGAAAUACUCUGAAGCUGCAUAUCUGGAUGGAGAACGAUGUUGACAGCACAGUCACUGAAUGUUAUUCAGGAUCCCAGAGCACACAACGUUCCAUUUUAUAGUUGUUGACGCCUCCUUUUGUACGUUUUAGGAUUGCACGCUACCUUAUAUUUUGAUACUGUCAAAUAAAGACUGCCACAAUGCUCCAGCAGAACAAUAACAACAACUAUCCAUGUCUGGAGAUGGCUGGCUCCACUAGGGAAGUGCUGCAGAAGUGCCAAAAAAGCUAUCUUCCCUUCACCAGUCGUUUGGAGCUUGCAGACAUGCCCUUAGUCAAGGGCCUUCGGGCCUGGGCGGUGUGCUCCAAGGAGCGGAGGAGGUCAGCGCCGUCCACCAGGGCUCCAGGGACCUGCCUCGGGUCGGCAGACAUCUACCCAGUGGGACAGUGGGGCAGGGUGGGUCGUGAUCUGGGGCUACCGCUGGAUUCCACCUAUUCCUCCCAGCCCAGGCAGGCAGGCCUCGGGGCUCUUGUGACGGUGGCCACAUUGAAGGCCUCUGAGGGAGGCGGUCAGACUCAGACACACUGUCUGUUUCUCAGUGCAGAGAGUGGCAGGUGCCUCUACAGCACAAGGGGCCCAAAGACCCACGGUCAACGUCUGGUCCCUCAGACUCCAUCCACCCUGGUGGGCAGCUGGCUCAGGGAUAAAGUGGGGGGAUUCAGGGACUCCUCUGUGGUGGGGAAAAUGGGGGUGCGCGACAUGGGAGGGGCAACAUACCAGGUGAAAUCGAGGUCCGGCCGGAGGUGGAGGACAUCCUGCAAAGCUGUGGCUCCUAUCCGGGGUAAAACACCCACCGAACGCAGGGAGGAUCCCAGGGUGCACACCCUGGAAGGAAGUCAGGAAAGCGGGGACAAAGGAGAGUUUCCGACCCUUGUCACGGACACACUGUCUGGGAAGCAGGACAGAGGAAACGCCAGAAGCCUCAGAUGCUGCCACGCUCAAACCAAGACCUGCACAGAGUGUCACCGGAGGAGAGGAGAGCAGGGGAACAGCAGCCGACAGAAGGGAUCUUCCUCCGUCUGUGUGGAGGAUCAGUUGGAGGGCGCCAUGGAGGGGAUUAAGGGGGAGGGGACUGCUGUCAGCCGACUAAAGCCCUGCAGCCUGCCCCCAGACACCAAGGACCCAGAAAGCCGCAGUAGUGACGUCAGGGACGGAGGACAGCCGGGCAACCCGCUGCGUCCUGAACUCUCCCACGACAAGGACCCCUUCCAGGACAAGACAGGGGAUGAAGACACCGGUACGGGAGGUGAAGACGUGUCCAGUGGUCACCCAAGACACGCGGAACGCGCUAACGGCACGCUGGGCACUGUGAACGGGUUUGUGGAGCAUAUCAAGUCGGCCGAACGUGAGUCGGCGAGGCUAGAAGGGAACGGGAGCACAGCUGUGGGGGGUGAUCAAUCUACGGGGAGACACUGCUGCUCUGAGAGAGGCUGCCUCAAACCCCCAUCCACACAGCCACCCACCCCAGCAGGGGGCAGCACUUCCGCUGCAGCCGAUGGGACUGGCUGUGGUCAGAUAAAUCCGGAAAUUAAAUCAGUUAGUCAGCUCAACAAGGAGGGAGAGCUUUGCGGGAAGUGUCUGCCAAAAGAAAAAGUCCCCGCGGCUGUGGAUAAAGAAGUGUUAGUGGUAGCUGAGCACAGGCUCCAUGGGGAGAAGGAGAAAGACGGCGAGGAGGGAAUCCAGUUGACGGCACCAGAAAUUAGGGAGCUCUGCGGGGAGUAUGGAGAUAUACAGCCUGAGGUCAGGAGCACAGACAAUGUUACCAGACUGGAAUGGGAAGCCAGGCAAGGGGAUUUCACAUCCCGAGGAGCGGAGAGAGGGCCUUACUGGGCAACGGAACGGCGUGAGUCAGAGGGGACGUGUUGGACGGAAGAAAGGUGUUUUUCUGGUUUAGCAGCUACCAUGACUGAGAAAGCAAUAGGAGGAGGGUGGAUGGAGUUGGAGACUGGGCAGUUUAAUUCCCCUUCACCAGGCCCUGCUACCUCUGUCACGCACACGCCGACUAAUCCGCUACCCCCGGGAGUCAUGGCAACAAGCUUCCCGGCUCUGGAGGGGGGACAGAUCGAAGCUGCAAGUGGGGCUCCGGCACCGCUGAUACUGAGUCUAGGGGAGCCAAACAGGGACCGGGACGAGAGCAAGGUAGCUGCCGACGCUGGGUUCCUGGAUGAGGAUACGGAGGGGGAUGAUGGUUUUGGGCAUUUCAUGCAAGCGGGGGAGCAGUCGUCCUGGAAUGACGGUUUCAUUGCAUCACCUCUAGUGCCUUCUGUGAAGAGUGCCGAAAUUGAAAACCCUGCCGUCACACAUUUGUCUACCCAUUUGACCUCAGACGUGACGGACUGCUCAUUUCACCAAUCAGAGGGUGCCUGGACAGCCUUCCAACAGAAUACGGACAGAGACGGACAAGACACGAGACGAGAGUGGUGGCCCACAAAUGCUGUGGAGGAGACAAGAAGCAGAUGCUCUAACAAGCAAAAUGUGAAUGGUGUGUUUGUGGAGGCCUUCUCCUCCCAGUCUACGCCCCCCUGUGAUUGUGAGGCAGUUCCCACACUCGGCCAGCUCCUCAGGAGCGUCUUGGAUCAUGAAAGCUCUGCAAAGGAUCACGGCUUACUGGACGGGUUCCAUGACCUGAACAAGAUGAUUGGAUUAAAAUAUAAAAGGGCCAAUACUGUUUCCCGUGAACGUCUUCUACACUCACUACAAAUAGGCCUGUGUAACACAGAAAAUAUUACUGGGAACCAGGCAGCAAGCCACAGUCCAUCUCUUGUCCCUCCCUUUUCAAGUGUGCAUACGCAGACCUGUGGGAAGAGACGCUUAUCUUAUGAUCUCAACAAGAACAUCAUGGAGUAGAUUUUCUCUUUCCUUGACUCUCAACAACAGAUGUUGUCUGCCCUACAAUGCCAAACCCCUGGGAGACUGUUUUCAUCCUCACAGGGGAAAUAACGGAACAAUUCACAAGAUUCAGACUGGAGCACUUGACCCCCUGGCGACCCCUAAUACUGUCUUAUUUAAUUUUGAAUUAACUGGAGCUUAUGUCAAUAGAUUCAACUGUGACAAUUUGGAUACACAUGGUUUUGUUUUGUAUAUGUGGGUCUCACAGAUAUUUUUAAAGAAAGGCAAAUGUCACAUUCUUAUUAAUUUCCUUAUUUUGGACUAAAAGACAAUGUGCAUUUGUCAGGCAAAGUGGAAGUAUACCCCCAACAAUUCACUCCACCCCCGAAAUAAACUUUGAGACAGUACUUUGUGUGCAGAGAAGUAAACACAUUUAUACACACACACAAACAAUCCUCUCCCAUCAUGUGAUGUCUGUCUCAGUACAGUAACAACCCUGGAGCAGAAUGUAUUCUAGGAUUAACUAACGCUGAACUUUACAUGAAGCUUAAUUUUUUUAUCAUACAGUAAAUAAAUGACUGUGUUUACUGACGUUCAAGUGGGUUGUUUCUAGCAGUCAGAAGGAACUUUUGUGCUGACAAAGAGAACAUUGGAUGUUUACAAUGAUACGUUUUGUUUCAGAUCACAAAAAAGCAAUUAUGUCAUACAAAGAUUAUACUUGUUUUUCUCAUUUGUGUUUGUGGGGAAACCCUAACUAAAUCAGCCCAUAACAAUGUAGUGGAUGUCUGUCAUUUGUACAUAAUUAAUUCCUCACGAAAAAUAUACAUAUUUUCUGAGUUGCUCAAAUGGAUAAAAAGAGAUUGUCAACUUGUUAAUUGAUGUAAUAAAAUGAUAUUGUGAUUAA